RNAcentral lists this unclassified non-coding RNA (794 nucleotides) under Hevea brasiliensis (rubber tree). Lineage: Eukaryota; Viridiplantae; Streptophyta; Magnoliopsida; Malpighiales; Euphorbiaceae. The record is from RNAcentral.
UUUUGAUAUACUUCUAAGAUAUAAUUCAAGCAAGAAAUUAUACAGAUUACACAAUGUUUUCCCUUUCCUAAUUAACUGAAACUGCACAGGAUAUGAAUACACUUGGCAGUUUACAAUACCUCAUAUCAGCAACCAAAUUACUUGGAAUACACUUGAAUAAACCAACAUUUAAAGAGAAUCUAUUUAUGACAUCAUAUCUUUCCACAUAUAAGAAAACCUCACUGCCAGCACUCAUGGGCUAAGAUCAUGGUUACUGCAAUGCACUAAAAAACACCUCUGAGACUACCUUAGCACCCCUUCCCUUGGCCAUGUACAGGCCUAUGUGAUGCAUCAGUUCCUGUGGAUGUGCUAUAGCAUCUUUGACAGCUCUAGCAACAUGAAGUGAAAUGUCAAAGGUAGCACAAGCUCGAGAUAACACAAUCACAUCCUCUAGAGGAGCAAGAAAACCACGAUUUCUGGUAGAUAGUGCUGAACAUACAAAAUCUAGCACGCAUAUAUCCGUGCAUAUUCCUACCACCAGUAUAACUUUGAUCUGAUUAUUUUUUAUCCAAUCUACAAACACAUUGGAGCCAUCUUUCUCCAUGCAACCCAGAAACCCAUCGAUGCAAUCCUUGCAUUUGAGCGUAACGUUAGCUUCAUUCUCCAACCACUGCAAUUCUGGAACGAGUCUUGCCUCAUCAGUUCCAGCAAUACAGUGAGGAGGGUAAGGGUGCUCCGGAAUAUCAGGAUGAUGAGAAUCAAGAAAAGCGAAAACAGGCCAUUUCUUGUCACAGAAAGCUCUAGCAAGCCUCACC